Molecule: ribosomal RNA, 1821 nt
Filed under: Triticum aestivum (bread wheat)
Lineage: Eukaryota; Viridiplantae; Streptophyta; Magnoliopsida; Poales; Poaceae
Description: partial small subunit ribosomal RNA
Source: RNAcentral
AUGUCAGAUUUCAUUUUGGGGGCCAGUUCAUCCACAUUGGUCAUGUUUUGGAUUAUGUGGGGGGGAGAUGAAGCACUUUCAUUGAUUGAGAGGGACAAGUUGUCAUUGUUUGAAGUUCAAGGGCAUUUGAAAGACCAUCUGGAGUUCAAGGAAUCGAUGAAGUUGUAUUUUCAUGUUCCUGGGAAAGAACUAGCUGAUGGUUUGAGGUUUUUGUUUGAUGACAGUGGUUGUGCUAGCAUGUUAGACUACAUUUGUGUUGGAGAUGUAGCUGAUAUUUAUGUGGAAUACCAUGGGGAGCAGGACAGUGAGAGUAGCAGCAGUGCUAGUGAUUAUGAGAAUGAGAUUGUUGAUGUUGAUAUGGAUGAUGAUGAAGCUGAAGAACCUGACAUGGUCAUUACUGCAGAACCAGCUGAUAAUGGUGUGCUCACUCAAAUGAACAACAUCCAAUUUGAGCAUCCUAGGGCAAGCAAAACCACAGUGGCAAAUGAGGUUGAUGAAGUGGCAGGAACUCAGUUGAUAUUUUCUCAAAUAUGCAGUCCAGAUGAAGUGCCAGAUGCAGUGCAUUUUCAGAACAAUUUGAGGACAGAUGCAGUGAACUUUCAGAGGAAUGUGAGGACAGAGGAAGUGAAGGAUCAGAGCAACAACCCAGCAGAUCAAGUGAAUGUUGAGAGCAACAAUGCAGUUUCAGCUAGUGAUUCUGAAGAAGAUACAGAGUACAUACCACACAGUGAGGACAGUGGAGAAAAUUCAGAGGUUGUUGAGCUCAGAAGGCAUGCUAGAAAAUUUAAGAAGAGGAUGAGAGAUACAAAGAGUUGGCUUGCAGGUGAUUCAACAACUCCUAUUCCUAUUGACUUAAUUGCAAAUAUGGAAGAUCAGUUAGAGGGAGAGGAGAAACAGUGGGGCUAUGACUCAUCUGAUGAGGAUUAUUCUUAUGAUGAAGAUUCUGAUGGGCACAUGGUGAGGAGGAAGAGCCAGUAUCCAAGAUACAAUAAUGACUCAGAAAUUCCACACUUUGCAUUGACAAUGGUAUUCAGGAGCAAGAAUCAGCUUGUGAAAGCAUUGAAGAAAUAUGGGAUUGUGACCAAAAAAAGCAUUGUGUUCUUGAAGUCAGAGAGUAACAGAGUUAGGGCUAAGUGUGGAUGGCCUGGCUGCCCUUGGCUUAUUUAUGGAGCCAAAACCUCAAGAACAAGCAGGUUUCAAAUCAUAACAUUUAAUGAUGAGCACCAUUGUGCACAAAACAGGGAGAACGGACUUGUGACAGCUAAGUUUAUUGCUGAAAGAUAUGAGCACUUCAUUUUAGCUAAUCCAAUGUGGAAAAUUGAGAGCAUGAAAGCAACAGCUCUUCAGGACAUGUUUGCUGAUGUAUCAACUUCUAAGUGCAAGCAUGCAAAGAAGCUUGUCAUGGACAAGUUAAGGGCUGGAAUGAAGAAUGAAUACACCAGGGUUUUUGAUUAUCAGCUGGAGCUACUUAGAAGUAAUCCUGGAAGCACUGUUGCAGUCUGUUUGGAUCCAACAAACAUGGAACAGAACAUAUUUCAGAGUUUCUAUGUCUGCUUUAAUGCACUGAAGUUGGGAUUUAAGGCUGGCUGCAGGAAAGUGAUUGGUUUAGAUGGUUGUUUUUUUAAAGGUGCUGUCAAAGGAGAGCUAUUGUGUGCUGUUGCAAGAGAUGCAAACAAUCAAAUGUAUCCAGUGGCAUGGGCAGUUGUUGAGAGGGAACUAAUGAUACAUGGAAGUGGUUCAUUGCCCUGCUUAUUAAAGAUCUUGAGAUUAAUGACAAUGGAGCUGGCUGGGUGUUCAUUUCAGAUCAGCAGAAGGGACUGA